CGUAUCACUUAAAGCGAUUCAGCGGGUUACGAUUGACGGAGCGAAGCGACGUCAAAGCGUAUACAAAGUCGAGUCGGUUUAAGGAUACGUUCGUUGGGUAGGGGAGCGUUCUGUAAGCCUGUGAAGGUGUGUCGUGAGGCAUGCUGGAGGUAUCAGAAGUGCGAAUGCUGACAUAAGUAACGAUAAAGCGGGUGAAAAGCCCGCUCGCCGGAAGACCAAGGGUUCCUGUCCAACGUUAAUCGGGGCAGGGUGAGUCGACCCCUAAGGCGAGGCCGAAAGGCGUAGUCGAUGGGAAACGGGUUAAUAUUCCCGUACUUGGUGUUACUGCGAAGGGGGGACGGAGAAGGCUAUGUUGGCCGGGCGACGGUUGUCCCGGUUUAAGCGUGUAGGCUGGUUUUCCAGGCAAAUCCGGAAAAUCAAGGCUGAGGCGUGACGACGAGGCACUACGGUGUUGAAGCAACAAAUGCCCUGCUUCCAGGAAAAGCCUCUAAGCAUCAGGUAACAUCAAAUCGUACCCCAAACCGACACAGGUGGUCAGGUAGAGAAUACCAAGGCGCUUGAGAGAACUCGGGUGAAGGAACUAGGCAAAAUGGUGCCGUAACUUCGGGAGAAGGCACGCUGACACGUAGGUGAAGUGAUUUACUCACGGAGCUGAAGUCAGUCGAAGAUACCAGCUGGCUGCAACUGUUUAUUAAAAACACAGCACUGUGCAAACACGAAAGUGGACGUAUACGGUGUGACGCCUGCCCGGUGCCGGAAGGUUAAUUGAUGGGGUCAGCGCAAGCGAAGCUCCUGAUCGAAGCCCCGGUAAACGGCGGCCGUAACUAUAACGGUCCUAAGGUAGCGAAAUUCCUUGUCGGGUAAGUUCCGACCUGCACGAAUGGCGUAAUGAUGGCCAGGCUGUCUCCACCCGAGACUCAGUGAAAUUGAACUCGCUGUGAAGAUGCAGUGUACCCGCGGCAAGACGGAAAGACCCCGUGAACCUUUACUAUAGCUUGACACUGAACAUUGAGCCUUGAUGUGUAGGAUAGGUGGGAGGCUUUGAAGUGUGGACGCCAGUCUGCAUGGAGCCGACCUUGAAAUACCACCCUUUAAUGUUUGAUGUUCUAACGUGGACCCGUAAUCCGGGUUGCGGACAGUGUCUGGUGGGUAGUUUGACUGGGGCGGUCUCCUCCUAAAGAGUAACGGAGGAGCACGAAGGUUGGCUAAUCCUGGUCGGACAUCAGGAGGUUAGUGCAAUGGCAUAAGCCAGCUUGACUGCGAGCGUGACGGCGCGAGCAGGUGCGAAAGCAGGUCAUAGUGAUCCGGUGGUUCUGAAUGGAAGGGCCAUCGCUCAACGGAUAAAAGGUACUCCGGGGAUAACAGGCUGAUACCGCCCAAGAGUUCAUAUCGACGGCGGUGUUUGGCACCUCGAUGUCGGCUCAUCACAUCCUGGGGCUGAAGUAGGUCCCAAGGGUAUGGCUGUUCGCCAUUUAAAGUGGUACGCGAGCUGGGUUUAGAACGUCGUGAGACAGUUCGGUCCCUAUCUGCCGUGGGCGCUGGAGAACUGAGGGGGGCUGCUCCUAGUACGAGAGGACCGGAGUGGACGCAUCACUGGUGUUCGGGUUGUCAUGCCAAUGGCACUGCCCGGUAGCUAAAUGCGGAAGAGAUAAGUGCUGAAAGCAUCUAAGCACGAAACUUGCCCCGAG
Molecule: ribosomal RNA, 1688 nt
Filed under: Salmonella enterica
Lineage: Bacteria; Pseudomonadati; Pseudomonadota; Gammaproteobacteria; Enterobacterales; Enterobacteriaceae
Description: partial 23S ribosomal RNA
Rfam family: Bacterial large subunit ribosomal RNA
Source: RNAcentral